Molecule: small nuclear RNA, 107 nt
Organism: Octopus sinensis (East Asian common octopus)
Lineage: Eukaryota; Metazoa; Mollusca; Cephalopoda; Octopoda; Octopodidae
Source: RefSeq, a predicted model, not a curated record
GAAGGAUCUUUACCUUUACAUAUAUUAAAACUGGAAUGAUACAGAGAAGAUAGGCAUGGCUCCUGUGCAAGGAUGACAUGCAAAUUCACGAAGCGUUCCACAUUUUU